Non-coding RNA from Triticum aestivum (bread wheat), 136 nucleotides. The record is from Rfam. NCBI's taxonomy places the organism in Eukaryota, Viridiplantae, Streptophyta, Magnoliopsida, Poales, Poaceae.
UGUGUACUCCCUCCAUUCCAAAAUACAUGACUUCCAUUUGUCCAAAAAUGGAUGUACCUAUAUACUAAAACAUGUCUAGAUACAUCUAUAUUUUGACAAAUAGAAGGCAUGUUUUAUGAAACAGAGGGAGUAGAAU